RNAcentral lists this small RNA (694 nucleotides) under Pongo abelii (Sumatran orangutan). RNAcentral's name for it is "processed transcript". Lineage: Eukaryota; Metazoa; Chordata; Mammalia; Primates; Hominidae. The record is from RNAcentral.
GGAGUGUUCUGCAGAUGUCCCAGAAGGCGCAUGAAAGUCCUUCUGACCCAUAUUGUCUUCAAAACAGUCGUAGGAAGGAUGGAGAAGCCUGGCCUGGCACUGGCUCUCAGGAAAGUCAUUGAUGGAAUUCGUGUGUCUGUGUGGGGCUCACUGUGAGUGGGGGGUGACUUCCUUUGAGUAGGAUGGACAUUUCUCCCUGCUCUAAAAGGAGAGUCAGUUCCUCGUUCUCUAAUAUACAGUUACCUGACUGACAUCGACCGCAUCGCCACACCAUCAUUCGUGCCUACCCAACAAGAUGUGCUUCGCGUCCGAGUGCCCACCACCGGCAUCAUUGAGUAUCCAUUUGACUUGGAAAACAUCAUCUUUCGGAUGGUGGAUGUUGGUGGCCAACGAUCGGAAAGACGGAAAUGGAUUCACUGCUUUGAGAGUGUCACCUCCAUUAUUUUCUUGGUUGCUCUGAGUGAAUAUGACCAGGUCCUGGCUGAGUGUGACAACGAGAAUCGCAUGGAAGAGAGCAAAGCCUUAUUUAAAACCAUCAUCACCUACCCCUGGUUUCUGAAUUCGUCUGUGAUUUUAUUCUUGAACAAGAAGGAUCUUUUGGAAGAGAAAAUCAUGUACUCUCAUCUAAUUAGCUAUUUCCCAGAAUACACAGGACCGAAGCAGGAUGUCAAAGCUGCCAGAGACUUUAUCCUGA